Molecule: ribosomal RNA, 485 nt
Filed under: uncultured bacterium
Lineage: Bacteria
Description: partial 16S ribosomal RNA
Rfam family: Bacterial small subunit ribosomal RNA
Source: RNAcentral
AUUGAACGCUGGCGGCAUGCCUUACACAUGCAAGUCGAACGGCAGCACGGGUGCUUGCACCUGGUGGCGAGUGGCGAACGGGUGAGUAAUACAUCGGAACAUGUCCUGUAGUGGGGGAUAGCCCGGCGAAAGCCGGAUUAAUACCGCAUACGAUCUACGGAUGAAAGCGGGGGACCUUCGGGCCUCGCGCUAUAGGGUUGGCCGAUAGCUGAUUAGCUAGUUGGUGGGGUAAAGGCCUACCAAGGCGACGAUCAGUAGCUGGUCUGAGAGGACGACCAGCCACACUGGGACUGAGACACGGCCCAGACUCCUACGGGAGGCAGCAGUGGGGAAUUUUGGACAAUGGGCGAAAGCCUGAUCCAGCAAUGCCGCGUGUGUGAAGAAGGCCUUCGGGUUGUAAAGCACUUUUGUCCGGAAAGAAAUCCUUGGCUCUAAUACAGUCGGGGGAUGACGGUACCGGAAGAAUAAGCACCGGCGAACUACGU